RNAcentral lists this transfer RNA (74 nucleotides) under Candidatus Omnitrophota bacterium. RNAcentral describes it as "tRNA-Asp". It matches the Rfam family "tRNA". Rfam says of the family: Transfer RNA (tRNA) molecules are approximately 80 nucleotides in length. Their secondary structure includes four short double-helical elements and three loops (D, anti-codon, and T loops). Further hydrogen bonds mediate the characteristic L-shaped molecular structure. tRNAs have two regions of fundamental functional importance: the anti-codon, which is responsible for specific mRNA codon recognition, and the 3' end, to which the tRNAs corresponding amino acid is attached (by aminoacyl-tRNA synthetases). tRNAs cope with the degeneracy of the genetic code in two manners: having more than one tRNA (with a specific anti-codon) for a particular amino acid; and 'wobble' base-pairing, i.e. permitting non-standard base-pairing at the 3rd anti-codon position. Lineage: Bacteria; Pseudomonadati; Candidatus Omnitrophota. The record is from RNAcentral.
GGGGCCGUGGUGCAGCGGUUUAACAUGUCGGAUUGUCGAUCCGAAGAUCGCGGGUUCAAAUCCCGUCGGCCCCG